AGCAAACGCUGGCGGCAGGCCUAACACAUGCAAGUCGAACGAACUCUUCGGAGUUAGUGGCGGACGGGUGAGUAACACGUGGGAACGUGCCUUUAGGUUCGGAAUAACUCAGGGAAACUUGUGCUAAUACCGAAUGUGCCCUUCGGGGGAAAGAUUUAUCGCCUUUAGAGCGGCCCGCGUCUGAUUAGCUAGUUGGUGAGGUAAAGGCUCACCAAGGCGACGAUCAGUAGCUGGUCUGAGGGGAUGAUCAGCCACAUUGGGACUGAGACACGGCCCAAACUACUACGGGAGGCAGCAGUGGGGAAUCUUGCGAAAUGGGCGAAAGCCUGACGCAGCCAUGCCGCGUGAAUGAUGAAGGUCUUAGGAUUGUAAAAUUCUUUCACCGGGGACGAUAAUGACGGUACCCGGAGAAGAAGCCCCGGCUAACUUCGUGCCAGCAGCCGCCGUAA
This 449-nucleotide ribosomal RNA is filed under the name uncultured bacterium. RNAcentral's name for it is "partial 16S ribosomal RNA". It matches the Rfam family "Bacterial small subunit ribosomal RNA", at positions 29 to 523 of the family's 1533-position model. The record is from RNAcentral.